GCUGGCGGCGCGUUUAAGCAUGCAAGUCGAACGGUAGAGAAGUGCUUGCACUUCUUGAGAGUGGCGAACGGGUGAGUAACACGUAGGUGAUCUACCGCAGGGGUUGGGGAUAGCCCAUGGAAACAUGGGGUAAUACCGAAUACGCUCAUUUGGCUGUGGCCGGAUGAGGAAAGGCGCUUCGGCGCCGCCCUGCGAUGAGCCUGCGCCCCAUUAGCUAGUUGGUAGGGUAACGGCCUACCAAGGCGACGAUGGGUAGCCGGCCUGAGAGGGUGAUCGGCCACACUGGGACUGAGAUACGGCCCAGACUCCUACGGGAGGCAGCAGCUAAGAAUCUUCCGCAAUGGACGAAAGUCUGACGGAGCGACGCCGCGUGGGUGAAGAAGGCCGGAAGGUUGUAAAGCCCUUUUCUCGUUGAGGAAUAAGCACAGGAGGGAAUGCCUGUGGGAUGACGGUAGGCGAGGAAUAAGUCCCGGCCAAUUACGUGCCAGCAGCCGCGGUAACACGUAUGGGACGAGCGUUGUUCGGAAUCAUUGGGCGUAAAGGGCGCGUAGGCGGCGAGGUAAGCCUGGUGUGAAAGACCGCAGCUUAACUGCGGAACCGCGCUAGGAACUGCUUUGCUUGAGUUCAGGAGGGGGAGCUGGAAUUCCAGGUGUAGGGGUGAAAUCUGUAGAUAUCUGGAAGAACACCGGCGGCGAAGGCGAGCUCCUGGCCAUGAACUGACGCUGAGGCGCGAAAGCGUGGGGAGCGAACAGGAUUAGAUACCCUGGUAGUCCACGCUGUAAACGAUGUGCACUAGGUG
This 799-nucleotide ribosomal RNA is filed under the name uncultured organism. RNAcentral describes it as "bacterial SSU rRNA". It matches the Rfam family "Bacterial small subunit ribosomal RNA", at positions 35 to 822 of the family's 1533-position model. The record is from RNAcentral.